AUGAACGCUGGCGGCGUGCCUAAUACAUGCAAGUCGAACGCUGGAGAUCUAGCUUGCUAGAUCGAAGGAGUGGCGAACGGGUGAGUAAUACAUAAGCAACCUACCCACGAAGACUGGGAUAAUCUCUGGAAACGGGGACUAAUACCGGAUAGGUAAUCGGAAGGCAUCUUCUGGUUAUUAAAGGUUAAAAACACUGGUGGAUGGGCUUAUGGCGCAUUAGUUAGUUGGUGAGGUAACGGCCCACCAAGACGAUGAUGCGUAGCCGGCCUGAGAGGGUGAACGGCCACAUUGGGACUGAGACACGGCCCAGACUCCUACGGGAGGCAGCAGUAGGGAAGUUUCGGCAAUGGGGGCAACCCUGACCGAGCAACGCCGCGUGAGUGAAGACGGCCUUCGGGUUGUAAAGCUCUGUUGUAAGGGAAGAACGGUAGAUAGAGAAUAUCUAAGUGACGGUACCUGACCAGAAAGCCACGGCUAACUACGUG
This 485-nucleotide ribosomal RNA is filed under the name uncultured bacterium. RNAcentral's name for it is "partial 16S ribosomal RNA". It matches the Rfam family "Bacterial small subunit ribosomal RNA", at positions 29 to 507 of the family's 1533-position model. The record is from RNAcentral.